UGUAGCUGAUGGCUGGUCUCCUGUGAGUGUCAUUAUUAAUGAUGGUUACUGAACUGCCCUAAUUGUUUAAUUAGGUUGGGUUGGAUGAGAUGUGACAGCUGCAGAGUGAUUCAUGUUUACGAGUUUCCCGCCAUCAUGACGGCCUGUCGGUGGGUGCGAGAAGUGAUGAGGCCUUUGGCAGGCAAGCCGGCAUCUGUCGUCCGCGUCACGGGGCUGUGUUGAACAGCGGUCAGCUACGAGCAGAUGUACAAUACUGUAAAUACUGGCCAAAAUCUUUAAGGCACUUCCAAGCUGACAGCUGUAAGACAUAAUCCAAUCAUCGUGUCCUGGGUCCUCUUCUGGGAGACAUCAUGACCAGACCCUUAAACCACCUCAACUGGCUCCUUUCAGUGCACAAGGGCAGCAACUCUACACACCCUUAGUCUAUAAGGGUCAACACCCAACACAUUUCAUCAUAAUAUCAUAAACAGAAACGGUUUUAAAAGACAGUCCUGGCCAGAUCCAACAUGCUCUACUGCCAAGACUGUGGACGCAUCUUUCACACUGGUUGAAUAGAAUCAGCUUGCAUAAGCGGGCCAGUACAAAAUGCACAUGGACUUUCAUUGUAUGACCAUAAAUUAGUCAGUUUAAGUCAAUUAAAAUAUUAUUCAGAGAAACAAGGUUUGUAUCGCUUAACGCGUCACCACACAUGCACCCGAUGAAACGGUCUAUAGGGUCAGUUUCCUGGACAGGGAUUAGAUUAAUCCAGGACUAGUUAUAUUAGGACAUUUAAGUAGUUUUACUAACAUACAAAAAACAUUACUGAUGUGCAAAUUGAAACAAAACAAUAGCACUGAUAUAUUUUUUAUAAUGGGGACAUAUAAUAAAAAUCUGACUUUUUUCAUGUUUAAGUGCUAUAAUUGGUUCCCCAGUGCUUCUAUCAACCUAGAAAAUGGGAAAAAGAUCAACCCAGUGACUUGGGGUGCUUUCUCACCUGCCUUAUUUAGUCUGGUUGAAUUGUAUUCAAGUUUGAUAGCCCACUUGGUACGGUUUGUUUGGGCAUGUAAGAAUGCAGCAAUCGAACUCAUGUGCGCACCAAAAGCGGACAAAACAAGCGGACCGAGGUCUCAGUACGCUUUCAAACGAACUCUGGAGCGGUUUGUUUGUGGUGAGAAUACGAUUAGACCUCGAACAGACCUGAUUGCAAAAAGUGCUGCUCAUUUUUUUACUUGUCCAGCUGCU
Misgurnus anguillicaudatus (oriental weatherfish) is the source of this 1221-nucleotide non-coding RNA. NCBI's taxonomy places the organism in Eukaryota, Metazoa, Chordata, Actinopteri, Cypriniformes, Cobitidae. The record is from RefSeq and is a predicted model, not a curated record.